UACGUAGGUCCCGAGCGUUGUCCGGAUUUAUUGGGCGUAAAGCGAGCGCAGGUGGUUUAUUAAGUCUGGUGUAAAAAGCAGUGGCUCAACCAUUGUAUGCAUUGGAAACUGGUAGACUUGAGUGCAGGAGAGGAGAGUGGAAUUCCAUGUGUAGCGGUGAAAUGCGUAGAUAUAUGGAGGAACACCGGUGGCGAAAGCGGCCCUCUGGCCUGUAACUGACACUGAGGCUCGAAAGCGUGGGGAGCAAACAGG
This 252-nucleotide ribosomal RNA is filed under the name uncultured bacterium. RNAcentral describes it as "partial 16S ribosomal RNA". It matches the Rfam family "Bacterial small subunit ribosomal RNA", at positions 524 to 776 of the family's 1533-position model. The record is from RNAcentral.